This 301-nucleotide ribosomal RNA is filed under the name uncultured bacterium. RNAcentral describes it as "partial 16S ribosomal RNA". It matches the Rfam family "Bacterial small subunit ribosomal RNA", at positions 510 to 808 of the family's 1533-position model. The record is from RNAcentral.
CGUCGCCGCGGGAAAACGGAGGGUGCAAGCGUUAAUCGGAAUUACUGGGCGUAAAGCGCACGCAGGCGGUUUGUUAAGUCAGAUGUGAAAUCCCCGAGCUUAACUUGGGAACUGCAUUUGAAACUGGCAAGCUAGAGUCUUGUAGAGGGGGGUAGAAUUCCAGGUGUAGCGGUGAAAUGCGUAGAGAUCUGGAGGAAUACCGGUGGCGAAGGCGGCCCCCUGGACAAAGACUGACGCUCAGGUGCGAAAGCGUGGGGAGCAAACAGGAUUAGAUACCCCGGUAGUCCCUGUCUCUUAUACA